RNAcentral lists this ribosomal RNA (964 nucleotides) under uncultured Syndiniales. RNAcentral describes it as "SSU rRNA". It matches the Rfam family "Eukaryotic small subunit ribosomal RNA", at positions 612 to 1601 of the family's 1831-position model. Lineage: Eukaryota; Dinophyceae; Syndiniales. The record is from RNAcentral.
GUUGCGGUUAAAAGCUCGUAGUUGGAUUUCUGUCGAAGACGGUCGGUCCGCUCUAUGAGCGCGUAUCUGAUUCGGCUUUGGCAUCCUCGUGGGGGACGUAACUGUGCUUGAUUGCAUGGUGCGGAAUUCACGACUUUUACUUUGAGGAAAUUAGAGUGUUCACGGCAGGCAAGCGCCUUGAAUAUAUUAGCAUGGAAUAAUAAUAUAGGACUUUGGUUCUAUUUUGUUGGUUUCUAGGACUAAAGUAAUGAUUAAUAGGGAUAAUUGGGGGCAUUUGUAUUAACGCGUCAGAGGUGGAAUUCUUGGAUUGCGUUACGACAAACUACUGCGAAAGCAUUUGCCAAGGAUGUUUUCAUUGAUCAAGAACGAAAGUUAGGGGAUCGAAGACGAUCAGAUACCGUCGUAUUUUUAACCAUAAACUAUGCCGACUAGGGAUCUGGAGGCGUUAUUUUAUACGACCCUCCAGGCACCUUAUGAGAAAUCAAAGUCUAUGGGUUCCGGGGGGAGUAUGGUCGCAAGGCUGAAACUUAAAGGAAUUGACGGAAGGGCACCACCAGGAGUGGAGCCUGCGGCUUAAUUAGACUCAACACGGGAAAACUUACCAGGUCCAGACAUAGUUAGGAUUGACAGAUUGAGAGCUCUUUCUUGAUUCUAUGGGUGGUGGUGCAUGGCCGUUCUUAGUUGGUGGAGUGAUUGUCUGGUUAAUUCCGAUAACGAACGAGACCUUAUCCUGCUAAAUAGUGACUUGCAUCUUCGGAUAUAAGAACGCUUCUUAGAGGGACUUUGUGAAUUUAAGCGCAAGGAAGUUUGAGGCAAUAACAGGUCUGUGAUGCCCUUAGAUGUUCUGGGCUGCACGCGCGCUACACUGAUGCGUUCAACGAGCAUACAACCUUGCCCGGUAGGGUUGGGUAAUCUUUUGAAAACGCAUCGUGAUGGGGAUAGAUUAUUGUAAUUAUUAAUCUUC